CUGGAAGGAGGCCGCCCUGGCAUUAAUGCGACGCCUGUUGCCCCUCCCUUCAGCGGCACAGUCCUCAGGAGGGGUGGCCUAGGCUGAAUUCAGGACUGGCAGCGGGUGCCCAUCACAUGCUGGGUUUCUUACAAAAAGCUUAAGGAUGGCCGAGCGCGGCGGCUCAGCCUGUCAUCCCAGCACUUUGGCAGGCCGAGGCGGAUGGAUCACCAGGUCAGGAGACUGAGACCAGCCUGGCUAACAAAGUGAAACCCUGUCUCUACCAAAAAUACAAAAAAUUAGCCGGGCGUGGUGGUGGUCGCCUGUGGUCCCAGCUACUCGGGAGGCUGAGGCAGGAGAAUCACUUGAACCCGGGAGGCAGAGCUUGCAGUGAGCCAGGAUCGCGUCACUGCACUCCAGCCUGGGCAAGAGAGCGAGACUCUGUCUCAAAAAAAAAAAAAAAAAAAGCUUAAGGUUUGCAAUUUGUCCUUAACCUAUUCAAAGAUUUUUCAAAUUAAAAAGUUAAAAAAACAAACAAAAAAAAGGCUGGGUGUGGUGGCUCACGCCUGUCAUCCCAGCACUUUGGGAUGCUGAGGCCGGUGGAUUGUUUGUUUGAGACUAGCCCGGGCGAGGUGGUGAAAUCCCAUCUCUACUAAAGAUAACAAAAAUCGGCCAGGCGCACUGGUGUGUGCCUGUAAUCCCAGCACUUUGGGAGGCGGAGACAGCAGGAUCAAUGCCCAGGAGGUUGAGGGAGACUGUACCACUGCACUAAAGCCUGGGUGACAGAGACCCUGUCUCAGAAAAAAAAAAAAAAAAAAAAAAAGGAAGAAAAAAAGUGGCAAAGGCAGGGCCAGGCAGCACUGUGUCUAUACACCAGCCAGAGGAUGCUGGAAAGCAAAUGCCAAUGGAUGCCCCUCAGCUCAGAGGCUGACCCCACGCCACUGCAGACACCAGACCCCAGCCCCUGGGCCUGGCUCCAGAAUGCAGAGUUGAGGAGGGAGACUUUGCUACCCACACACAUCCCGACAACCAUGUCCCUAAGCUGUGGGCCAGCAGUGCCCGGCAUAGCUCUAUUGAAACAUCCAGGAGGCCAGGCACGGUGGCGCAUGCCUGUAAUCCCAGCACUUUGGAAGGCUGAGGCGGGUGGAUCACCUGAGGUCAGGAGUUCAAGACAAGCCUGGCCAACAUGGUGAAACCCUGUCUCUACUAAAAAAUACAAAAAUUACCUGAGCGCAGUGGCGCGUGCCUGUAAUCCCAGCUACUUGGGAGGCUGAGGCAGGAGAAUGGCUUAAGCCUAGGAGGCGGAGGUUGCAGUGAGCAGAGAUUGCACCACUGCACUCCAUCCUGGGCUACAGAACGAGACUCUGUCUCGAAAAAAACAAAAGAAAAAGCAAUAUCCGGGAAUAAACGCCUGCUACCCACGGCAAAACACAGCAAGCGCAGACCGGAUGCACGCAGGGCCCUGAGGGGCAGAGGCCUCGUGGAGCCGACCCUCAC
Molecule: long non-coding RNA, 1476 nt
Filed under: Homo sapiens (human)
Lineage: Eukaryota; Metazoa; Chordata; Mammalia; Primates; Hominidae
Description: HSALNT0355513
Rfam family: Metazoan signal recognition particle RNA (bases 1069-1185)
Source: RNAcentral